GACGAACGCUGGCGGCGUGCUUAACACAUGCAAGUCGAACGGUGAAGCGAGUGCUUGCACUCGUGGAUCAGUGGCGAACGGGUGAGUAACACGUGAGUAACCUGCCCAUCACUCUGGGAUAAGCACUGGAAACGGUGUCUAAUACUGGAUACGACCAACCCUUGCAUGGGGUGUUGGUGGAAAGAUUUAUCGGUGAUGGAUGGACUCGCGGCCUAUCAGCUUGUUGGCGGGGUAAUGGCCCACCAAGGCGACGACGGGUAGCCGGCCUGAGAGGGUGACCGGCCACACUGGGACUGAGACACGGCCCAGACUCCUACGGGAGGCAGCAGUGGGGAAUAUUGCACCAUGGGCGAAAGCCUGAUGCAGCGACGCCGCGUGAGGGAUGACGGCCUUCGGGUUGUAAACCUCUUUCAGCAGGGAAGAAGCGAAAGUGACGGUACCUGCAGAAGAAGCACCGGCUAACUACGUG
RNAcentral lists this ribosomal RNA (469 nucleotides) under uncultured bacterium. RNAcentral describes it as "partial 16S ribosomal RNA". It matches the Rfam family "Bacterial small subunit ribosomal RNA", at positions 28 to 507 of the family's 1533-position model. The record is from RNAcentral.